This 373-nucleotide long non-coding RNA is filed under the name Megachile rotundata (alfalfa leafcutting bee). RNAcentral's name for it is "uncharacterized LOC105662128, transcript variant X1". Lineage: Eukaryota; Metazoa; Arthropoda; Insecta; Hymenoptera; Megachilidae. The record is from RNAcentral.
CAGCAACUUCAGACUAUAUAGCCAUAGAGAAAGUAAAAUAUUUUUGAACGGAGUAGUGUAUUCUGGGGAUCUGAAGAUGUGGAUUAUGUGUGAGAAGCAGUACGUACAGUAUACUAGUCGGUGAUAUAGGAAAUGACAUAAUGAAAAGAGCUUAGUUGCAAAAUUUGGUCAAUAUCGGAGCUCGACAAUUUUUCGAAGUUUCACUUUCUGGAAUACUAAUUUAAACUGUCGGUCAAACAGGAAAUAUCUAAUGUUGAUAAAGAGGGAAAUUUUAAUUGUCUCCUCUUUGUAGGAAGGAAUUUUACCUACUGCGCUUAGUAGAAAUCUGUAAAGUGACUUUCAGAACUACAAAUUCAACAGUUUUGAGUUCAGA